Molecule: long non-coding RNA, 507 nt
Organism: Patiria miniata (bat star)
Lineage: Eukaryota; Metazoa; Echinodermata; Asteroidea; Valvatida; Asterinidae
Exons: 3
Source: RefSeq, a predicted model, not a curated record
UUGAACUCAAAGUGUGUUUGUCUGAUGAAAACAUUUUUUAGAUUGUUUGAUAUCAUUUUUGUUAGAACUUCUACAUGGUAAUAGAUUAUAAUGCGACUUCAAAAUACUUCAGUCUUUGUCAAUAAGUGACUUGAUCAAAGUUAGUUAUUCUACAAGUGCGUUUAAACCUUUUUUUCUUAAAGUUGCUAAAUGAAAGCUGUUCUCGUGAACAACAAAACUGUUGGUGAACACAAAACUGUGUGCUAAUUUGAAUUUGUUGUUAGCUUUUUCAAAUAGACCUACACACACUGUGGUAUAAUUUCUGGCUCAGAUUGAUUGCUGGUUAUGGUUUUUGCCUCUUUACAAAUAAUUGCUGAUCUAAAUGCUAUUUAGUGGACUAUGUAACUUCCGUUGCAGAUGAUGUUAGGAUAAUGCUAGAUGUUUACAAGUUUUGUUUGGGUGGUUUGAUUCUGUCGAUCUUGUAGCUUGGAUCCUGUCCCUCAAGCCAGUACGUCAGGAUUUCACCUU